CCUACGGGCGGCUGCAGUGGGGAAUAUUGGACAAUGGGGGGAACCCUGAUCCAGCCAUGCCGCGUGUGUGAAGAAGGCCCUCGGGUUGUAAAGCACUUUCAGUGAGGAAGAACGCCUGGUGGUUAAUACCCAUCAGGAAAGACAUCACUCACAGAAGAAGCACCGGCUAACUCCGUGCCAGCAGCCGCGGUAAUACGGAGGGUGCGAGCGUUAAUCGGAAUUACUGGGCGUAAAGCGCGCGUAGGUGGCUUGAUAAGCCGGUUGUGAAAGCCCCGGGCUCAACCUGGGAACGGCAUCCGGAACUGUCGAGCUAGAGUGCAGGAGAGGAAGGUAGAAUUCCCGGUGUAGCGGUGAAAUGCGUAGAGAUCGGGAGGAAUACCAGUGGCGAAGGCGGCCUUCUGGACUGACACUGACACUGAGGUGCGAAAGCGUGGGUAGCAAACAGGAUUAGAUACCCUGGUAGUC
RNAcentral lists this ribosomal RNA (465 nucleotides) under Vreelandella stevensii. RNAcentral describes it as "partial 16S ribosomal RNA". It matches the Rfam family "Bacterial small subunit ribosomal RNA", at positions 338 to 795 of the family's 1533-position model. Lineage: Bacteria; Pseudomonadati; Pseudomonadota; Gammaproteobacteria; Oceanospirillales; Halomonadaceae. The record is from RNAcentral.